UACGAAGGGGGCUAGCGUUGCUCGGAAUCACUGGGCGUAAAGCGCACGUAGGCGGCUUCUUAAGUCGGUGGUGAAAUCCUGGAGCUCAACUCCAGAACUGCCUUCGAUACUGAGAGUCUUGAGUUCGGGAGAGGUGAGUGGAACUGCGAGUGUAGAGGUGAAAUUCGUAGAUAUUCGCAAGAACACCAGUGGCGAUGGCGGCUCACUGGCCCGAUACUGACGCUGAGGUGCGAAAGCGUGGGGAGCAAACAGG
RNAcentral lists this ribosomal RNA (253 nucleotides) under uncultured bacterium. Its description in RNAcentral is "partial 16S ribosomal RNA". It matches the Rfam family "Bacterial small subunit ribosomal RNA", at positions 524 to 776 of the family's 1533-position model. The record is from RNAcentral.